CUGCUUUGAAUUUGAGUUCACGUUCUCCACAUGUGUGGUCCAUCGGCCCAGGGGACCUAUCCCAGAAUCCCAGAUACACGUGUGCAGGCAGAAGCAGUAGUGCAAUUCAGAAUAGCAGUGCAAGUGUGCCUCACUUUCACGGGGGAGAUGCAGGAGAAACUCCAGGGAUGUGUGCAGCGUUGACGGACAGGGGGAUAAACAGAGGGAUUGUCCCUGACCUCCCAACACCAGUCUGGAGGAAGACGAAUAGCCCCCCAAUGGGCCCUGAGCAGAUAAAAUACACCCUACCGUCUUCAACACCAGGUGUGACAGCCAUCAGGGGUGGCCUAUCAGCAGGAGGUACAGAGAAGGGGAGUGAAGUGCGCUUGGCCUGCUUGCUGGAUGUCUAGUGAAGCCCAAGGCCACAAGCAACGAGACCUGUCCAUCAGUGGCAGUUAUUAGGGGAGACCACCGGUGAACCAGGGCCAUUUGGUGGGCCUAAUAACAACGUGAAUGGGAGAGCUGAGGGACAGGAAGUGCAGCCAGACAGGCCGGUGCUGAGAAAAGCACUUUCAGCGAGGGAGGCCUCCUUGGAAAAAACAAUGACAAGGCCUAUAUCAGCCUGAAACACUCCCAUGGCUUACUUCCAGAUGACAACUCAGUGCUAUCACUUGAUGCUUUUUCUUAAAGAUUGAAACAGUAAUGGUGGAAAAGUCUCAGAAAAUAAUCACAACUCCUGUAAAAUAAAAUAUCCUCUCAUUUCACAAUGAUGAACAGGUAAUCAUGAAAACAACUGCAACUACAAGGACGACUAACGGAUUAUACUGUAUCUGUCGUCCUCUCUUGUAAUCCAGGUGCUUGGUUGGAACCAAAGCCACUUUGACAGUAAAGAUUUGAGACCCCACGUGUUUUAACUGCCCAUCAACAUGGGAGGCUUUCAUUUUACAGCCUGGGGUUUAUUGCACGACAGCUUAAACGUAGCUCAGGUUUCACGCAGGACUGUUUCACUGUUCUGCCUCUCUCCUCUCCUGACUGAAGUGUAAAUGGGAAAAGAGGCAUCUUGGCUCAGGGAACCAGUGUGAUCCAAGAGAUGACAUUUUAAGUGAUCUUUGA
Long non-coding RNA from Thunnus maccoyii (southern bluefin tuna), 1092 nucleotides. RefSeq lists it as uncharacterized. The record is from RefSeq and is a predicted model, not a curated record. The transcript is spliced from 3 exons. NCBI's taxonomy places the organism in Eukaryota, Metazoa, Chordata, Actinopteri, Scombriformes, Scombridae.